CAGGUGGCGGUAGGUUAGGUGGGAGAAUGAUGUCACAAAGCAGGCAGUUUAAAGGUCUGCGAUAGCCAAUAGGGAGGUCCGAUUCUCAACAAGACAGGAUUGGCUGGCAGAGGUGGUCGGUUUAAAGGUCUGGGAUAGCCAAUAGGGAGGUCAGAUUCCCAACAAGACAGGAUUGGCUGGCAGAGGUGGUAGGAAAGCUGUAACAGCACCUCUGGGGAGGUGAAAUCUACCAGACAGACAUGAUAGUCCCACUUUCCCCCAGGCUCUCAUGUUAGGGAGAUCAUGUCAAUGUUUCUGAUAAAUGUUCAUUAAUAUAAUUAACUAACAUUUAUAUUUUAUACGUUAUGUUUCAUAUUAUAUAAUAGCAUGCAUUUAUGAUUAUACAGUACAUACACGAUAUCCUUGGAGAGAAAGGAAAGGGACGUCUAAGUUGAGCAAUUAUAGUUGUUCUGAAACCAUUUCAGUGAAUCUGAUUAAUGAAUUUACUGCUGCUUUUUAAUUUAAUUUAAUGUUUUUUGAGAUGGAAUCUCGCUCUGUCACCCAGCCUGGAGGGCAGUGGCGUGAUCUCGGCUCACUGCAAGCUCCACCUCCCAGGUUCACGCCAUUCUCCCGCCUCAGCCUCCUGAGUAGCUGGGACUACAGAUGGAGUCUCGCUCUGUCGCCGAGGUUGAAGGGCAGUGGCACGAUCUCGGCUCACUGCAUCAUGCGCCUCCCCGGUUCAAGCAAUUCUCAUGCCUGAGCCUCCCAAGUAGGCUGAAGUCCAGUGGUGUGAACAUGACUCACUGCAGCCUCAACCUCCUGGGCUCAAGCAGUCCUCUGAUCCUCCCACCUCAGCCUCCUGAGUAGCUGGCAUACCCCCAACCCUGG
Molecule: long non-coding RNA, 867 nt
Organism: Symphalangus syndactylus (siamang)
Lineage: Eukaryota; Metazoa; Chordata; Mammalia; Primates; Hylobatidae
Source: RefSeq, a predicted model, not a curated record